RNAcentral lists this unclassified non-coding RNA (2901 nucleotides) under Apis dorsata (giant honeybee). Its description in RNAcentral is "vam6/Vps39-like protein, transcript variant X2". The record is from RNAcentral. Lineage: Eukaryota; Metazoa; Arthropoda; Insecta; Hymenoptera; Apidae.
ACUUAAUGUCAAUUUAUUUGAACAUGCAGUUCAAUAGUUGAAGUCGAAGUAUCAAUUUGUUUGAAAUCUAAUUAUUAAUAUUAAAGAAAUUGUUUCUUUAUUUUGUGGAUUUAUAGAAAAAUAAAUAAUAAAUAACGUUAAAAUGCAUGAUGCUUAUGAAGAAACAUCAAUAUUAAAUAUAUCUGUUCAAAUAGAGUCUAUGGCUGCGUAUGAUGAUAAUUUAUUGAUUGGAACAAGAGAAGGUCAUCUUCUUAUGUAUAAUGUACCGUCUGUAUCAGAUGAUAAUCACAAAUUAGAAUUAUUACGUCAUAGUAAAAAUUUUAACAAAAAGCGUAUUACACAGAUAGAUGUUAUACCAGAAUAUAAUUUGCUGAUAAUUUUAACAGAUAAUAUAAUAUGUGUUCAUGAUUUAAAUUCUUUAAAUUUUCAACAACUAUAUCAGUUACAAAAAACUCGUGGUGCUACAUUGUUCAGUUUAGACAUAAAAUCAAAUCAAAUCAUAAAUGGUGAAAAACAUACAGUUGUACACUUAUGUGUUGUUGUGAAACGUAAGCUACAAUUAUAUAAAUCAAAAGGAAAAAAAUUUGAGACAUUUAAUGAUCUUGAAUUAACUGUGCCAGAUAUACCACGUGAAUUAUCUUGGUGUGGUGAAACAUUAGUUUUGGGUUUUCGUGGAUUAUCAUAUACAAUAUUGGAUUUAAAUGGAAAAACUAAAGAAUUAUUUCCAACUGGAAAAUCUCCUGAACCAAGUGUUACAAAAUUAUCUGAUAAUUCUUUUGUGUUGGGAAAAGAUUCUCAAUCAUUUGUUAUGGAUACUAGAGGGGAAUUAAUUCAGCAUAAUCCAGUAAAAUGGUCUGAUACACCAAGUGCAAUAGCUUGGGAUGAUCCUUAUCUACUUGGAAUUGUACAUGAUAGAUUAGAAGUAUAUACUACAGAAGGUUGUUUGCAUAUACAAACAAUAAAGGAUUUAAACAAAGCUAGGCUUAUAUAUAGAUGUAAACAGGGAAAAGUUUUUGUUGCAUCAAUUAGUCAUGUUUGGUGUGUGAGAGCAAUUGAUGUAACACAUCAAAUUAGAACAUUACUUGAACAAACUCAAUUUCAAUUGGCAUUGAAAUUAACUAGUUUGUCAGAUAUAUCCGAAGAAGAAAAAGUGAAACAAAUAUAUAAAAUUCAAACAUUAUAUGCUCAUCAUCUGUUCCGUAGUAAAAGAUUUCAAGAAGCAAUGGACCAAUUUUUGAAAAUAGGAACAGAUCCAUAUGAAGUGAUUAUGUUAUUUCCUGAUUUAGUUACACCAUCUAGUAAUAAUCCUGAAGUCAGUGAUCCAACAUUACCCAAACUUCAAGACCAUGAUUUAGAAAAAGGUCUACGUGCAUUAAUAGUUUUCCUUACUGAAGUUAGACACAAGUUAAUGGGAGAUUCAAAAGCUAAGGAUAAAGAUAAUAUCAAAGAAAAAUCUCUGAUAGAAGGAAAAAAAAAUAUGACAGCAGUAGCCACAGAACAGCUAUUAAAAAUAAUAGAUACAACUUUGUUAAAAUGUUAUUUGCAGACCACUGAUGCAUUGGUAGCACCAUUACUCAGGUUAAAUCAUUGCCAUUUGGCAGAAGCUGAAAAAACUUUAUUAAUGCAUCAAAAAUAUCCUGAACUUAUUAUAUUAUAUCAAACUAAAGGACAACAUAGAAAAGCAUUAGAACUUCUUGAAAAACAUGCAAAAGAAAAUGAUUCUAGUCUAAAAGGUACUGCAAGAACAAUACAAUACUUGCAGCACCUUGGUAAAGAUUAUAUAGAUUUAAUUUUAAAAUUUGCUGGUUGGGUCUUGAAUGAAGAUCCAGAACAAGGACUUCGAAUUUUCAUAGAAGAUAUACAGGAAGUUGAACAAUUACCAAGAGCAAAAGUGUUGGAUUAUCUUCUUCGUUGUCAUAAGGAUUUAGUUAUAACAUAUUUAGAACAUGUAGUACAUGUUUGGGAAGAUACUAAUCUUUUAUUCCAUAAUGUUUUAAUACAUCAAUACAAAGAAAAAUGUUUAGCAUGUAUGAGUGAAAAUGCUACACCAGCCGAAAAACAAACAGCUCAAUAUAUUAGGCAAAAAUUGCAACAAUUUUUACAAAAAUCUGAGCAUUAUAUGCCUGAAACAGUAUUAGUUCAUUUUCCAUUCGAUAAUUUAUUCGAAGAACGUGCAAUUAUUCUUGAACGACUUGCACGUCAUCAGCAAGUUAUUUCAAUAUAUAUUAGUCUUCUUAAUGAUGUACCAAAAGCAAUUGAAUAUUGUAAUAAAGUAUACACUAGAUAUCAAAAAAAUGCAGAUAAACAAAAACAAUCUAAUGGAGCUGAUGAAGUUUAUGUAAUGCUUAUUCAACAAUUAUUGAAACCUGAUGAUAAAGAAAAUUUGAUGGCAGUUCAGAAAUUCAAAAAACAACACAGCCUGAUUUGGAAAUGGCGCUUCGAUUGCUCGAAGAACACGCAGCGAAGAUAGAUCCGUUAAAGGCAUUAGAAAUUCUACCUGAUAAUGUUUCUAUAGGUAGAAUAAGGCAUUUUUUAGAAGUCAGUUUACAAGAAAAAUUGAAUGCUAAACGAAGAAUACAAAUUUUAAAAGGUUUGCUUUAUGCUGAACACUUGCAAGUACAAGAACAACGUAUGCAUUAUGAAUCACAAAGCGUUCUUAUGACGGAAUUUAAUAUAUGUCCAGUUUGUAAAAAAAGAUUCGGCAAUCAAAGCGCAUUUGCGAGAUAUCCGAAUGGCGAUAUUGUACAUUAUUCAUGUCAAGAUCGUAAAGCAUAACUUAUAUGUAUAUUAUAAUUUAAAUAUAUUUAUAUUAAUUAUUAAGUGAUAUAAAAUGUACAUUAUGAUGUACUUCUGCCAUAUUAUAUGUAAAUAUAUACAUUUUCCAUUAUCUUUCUAUUUAUA